AAGACCUUGCGCUUUUGGAGCGGCCGAUGCCUGAUUAGCUUGUUGGUAAGGUAAAAGCUUACCAAGGCUUCGAUCAGUAGCUGGUCUGAGAGGACGACCAGCCACACUGGGACUGAGACACGGCCCAGACUCCUACGGGAGGCAGCAGUGGGGAAUUUUGGACAAUGGGGGCAACCCUGAUCCAGCCAUGCCGCGUGAGUGAAGAAGGCCUUCGGGUUGUAAAGCUCUUUCAGCCGGAACGAAACGGCUACGGUUAACACCCGUGACUACUGACGGUACCGGAAGAAGAAGCACCGGCUAACUACGUGCCAGCAGCCGCGGUAAUACGUAGGGUGCGAGCGUUAAUCGGAAUUACUGGGCGUAAAGCGUGCGCAGGUGGUUUUGUAAGUCAGAUGUGAAAGCCCCGGGCUCAACCUGGGAACU
RNAcentral lists this ribosomal RNA (423 nucleotides) under uncultured bacterium. Its description in RNAcentral is "bacterial SSU rRNA". It matches the Rfam family "Bacterial small subunit ribosomal RNA", at positions 207 to 622 of the family's 1533-position model. The record is from RNAcentral.